This 1007-nucleotide ribosomal RNA is filed under the name Coelodictyosporium rosarum. Its description in RNAcentral is "SSU rRNA". It matches the Rfam family "Eukaryotic small subunit ribosomal RNA", at positions 53 to 1086 of the family's 1831-position model. The record is from RNAcentral. Lineage: Eukaryota; Fungi; Ascomycota; Dothideomycetes; Pleosporales; Lophiostomataceae.
GCAUGUCUAGUAUAGCAUAUACCGUGAAACUGCAAUCAGUUAUCGUUUAUUUGAUAGUACCUUACUACUUGGAUAACCGUGGUAAUUCUAGAGCUAAUACAUGCUGAAAACCCUGACUUCGGAGAGGGUGUAUUUAUUAGAUAAAAAACCAAUGCCCUUCGGGCUCUUUGGUGAUUCAUGAUAACUUAACGGAUCGCAUGGCCUUGCGCCGGGGACGGUUCAUUCAAAUUUCUGCCCUAUCAACUUUCGAUGGUAAGGUAUUGGCUUACCAUGGUUUCAACGGGUAACGGGGAAUUAGGGUUCGAUUCUGGAGAGGGAGCGUGAGAAACGGCUACCACAUCCAAGGAAGGCAGCAGGCGCGCAAAUUACCCAAUCCCGACACGGGGAGGUAGUGACAAUAAAUACUGAUACAGGGCUCUUUUGGGUCUUGUAAUCGGAAUGAGUACAAUUUAAACCUCUUAACGAGGAACAAAUGGAGAGCAAGUCUGGUGCCAGCAGCCGCGGUAAUUCCAGCUCCAAUAGCGUAUAUUAAAGUUGUUGCAGUUAAAAAGCUCGUAGUUGAAUCUUGGGCCUGGCUGGCCGGUCCGCCUCACCGCGUGUACUGGUCUGGCCGGGCCUUUCCUUCUGGAGAACCUCAUGCCCUUCAGUGGGUGUGUUGGGGAACCAGGACUUUUACUUUGAAAAAAUUAGAGUGUUCAAAGCAGGCCUUUGCUCGAAUACGUUAGCAUGGAAUAAUAGAAUAGGACGUGCGGUCCUAUUUUGUUGGUUUCUAGGACCGCCGUAAUGAUUAAUAGGGAUAGUCGGGGGCAUCAGUAUUCAAUUGUCAGAGGUGAAAUUCUUGGAUUUAUUGAAGACUAACUACUGCGAAAGCAUUUGCCAAGGAUGUUUUCAUUAAUCAGUGAACGAAAGUUAGGGGAUCGAAGACGAUCAGAUACCGUCGUAGUCUUAACCGUAAACUAUGCCGACUAGGGAUCGGGGCGAUGUUUCUAUCUUGACUCGCUCGGCAC